GACGAACGCUGGCGGCGCGCCUAACACAUGCAAGUCGAACGAGAGAUGAGGAGCUUGCUCUUCAAAUCGAGUGGCGAACGGGUGAGUAACGCGUGAGGAACCUGCCUCAAAGAGGGGGACAACAGUUGGAAACGACUGCUAAUACCGCAUAAGCCCACGGCUCGGCAUCGAGCAGGGGGAAAAGGAGCAAUCCGCUUUGAGAUGGCCUCGCGUCCGAUUAGCUAGUUGGUGAGGUAAUGGCCCACCAAGGCGACGAUCGGUAGCCGGACUGAGAGGUUGAACGGCCACAUUGGGACUGAGACACGGCCCAGACUCCUACGGGAGGCAGCAGUGGGGAAUAUUGCACAAUGGGGGAAACCCUGAUGCAGCGACGCCGCGUGGAGGAAGAAGGUCUUCGGAUUGUAAACUCCUGUUGUUGAGGAAGAUAAUGACGGUACUCAACAAGGAAGUGACGGC
This 456-nucleotide ribosomal RNA is filed under the name uncultured bacterium. RNAcentral's name for it is "bacterial SSU rRNA". It matches the Rfam family "Bacterial small subunit ribosomal RNA", at positions 28 to 497 of the family's 1533-position model. The record is from RNAcentral.